Molecule: long non-coding RNA, 683 nt
Filed under: Zonotrichia albicollis (white-throated sparrow)
Lineage: Eukaryota; Metazoa; Chordata; Aves; Passeriformes; Passerellidae
Description: lncRNA (ENSZALG00000002362.1)
Source: RNAcentral
CUAGGUUCACAUGAAAGUGGGAAUAUUGGAAUUACUCAGUCACUGAGGCACAAGAAAUGUCUCCUCUCUCCCCAGUUUUAUAGCAUUGUUACUCCACUGCGUCUGGGAAGAAAGUUGAGCAAUCAAGCAAUUUACAUAGAGGAAGGACAGAAAAAAAGGGAGCAUCCUCCACCCUUUGAAUUCUUGUGCACACCAUUGGUAUUGCCCCAAUAUGGACAACACAGGCUCAGCAUUUCUGCAGCAUCUCUCAAGAAGCUGAUGGGUGCCCCAGAAAAGGAAACUAUCCCACUCAUCUAGAGAUGUAGCUGUCUACAAAGCAAUCAGACAAGAAGACAAGGAAAACAUCCUUACUGGAGUCCCAGAAGUCACUCUCCUGUAGCUGAAAGAUCUGUGUGGCAGAGCAAGUAUUUUGCCCUUUGCUCUCUAGCUGCCAUUUCACACACCUGUGCCCAUCCAGGCCUUCUCUUGUCAUGGAGACAAAGCCCAGAGCUGAAGAAUGCCAAGCUGAAGAGAGAAGACCACCAGGAUUUCUGUGGGACUGCAUUCUGAGCACUUAACCACCUCCCCUGCUGCUCUCCAGUAGGUCAGGCUUCAGGAGGAGUCAACACAAAAACCAGAAGCAUUUGCACAUUUGAAAGUUAUUUUUUAAAUACUAAAAUAAACAAGGAAGGUGGGGGAAAGCA